RNAcentral lists this ribosomal RNA (252 nucleotides) under uncultured bacterium. Its description in RNAcentral is "partial 16S ribosomal RNA". It matches the Rfam family "Bacterial small subunit ribosomal RNA", at positions 524 to 776 of the family's 1533-position model. The record is from RNAcentral.
UACAGAGGUCUCAAGCGUUGUCCGGAAUUAUUGGGCGUAAAGCGCGCGCAGGCGGCUAUUUAAGUCUGGUGUUUAAACCUUGGGCUCAACCUGAGGUCGCACUGGAAACUGGGUGGCUUGAGUACAGAAGAGGAAAGUGGAAUUCCACGUGUAGCGGUGAAAUGCGUAGAUAUGUGGAGGAACACCAGUGGCGAAGGCGACUUUCUGGGCUGUAACUGACGCUGAGGCGCGAAAGCGUGGGGAGCAAACAGG